RNAcentral lists this ribosomal RNA (434 nucleotides) under uncultured Lachnospiraceae bacterium. Its description in RNAcentral is "partial 16S ribosomal RNA". It matches the Rfam family "Bacterial small subunit ribosomal RNA", at positions 341 to 792 of the family's 1533-position model. The record is from RNAcentral. Lineage: Bacteria; Bacillati; Bacillota; Clostridia; Lachnospirales; Lachnospiraceae.
ACGGAAGGCAGCAGUGGGGAAUAUUGCACAAUGGGGGAAACCCUGAUGCAGCGACGCCGCGUGAGUGAAGAAGUAUUUCGGUAUGUAAAGCUCUAUCAGCGGGGACGAAGAUGACGGUACCCGCAGAAGAAGUCCCGGCUAACUACAUGCCAGCAGCCGCGGUAAUACGUAGGGGACAAGCGUUAUCCGGAUUUACUGGGUGUAAAGGGAGCGUAGGCGGCCAGACAAGUCAGAAGUGAAAGCCCGCGGCUCAACUGCGGGACUGCUUUUGAAACUGCCAGGCUAGAGUACUGGAGGGGCAAGCGGAAUUCCUGGUGUAGCGGUGAAAUGCGUAGAUAUCAGGAAGAACACCGGUGGCGAAGGCGGCUUGCUGGACAGAGACUGACGCUGAGGCUCGAAGGCGUGGGGAGCAAACAGGAUUAGAUACCCUGGUA